UGGUAAGCGUUGUCCGGAUUUAUUGGGCGUAAAGCGAGCGCAGGCGGUUCCUUAAGUCUGAUGUGAAAGCCCACGGCUCAACCGUGGAGGGUCAUUGGAAACUGGGGAACUUGAGUGCAGAAGAGGAGAGUGGAAUUCCAUGUGUAGCGGUGAAAUGCGUAGAUAUAUGGAGGAACACCAGUGGCGAAGGCGACUCUCUGGUCUGUAACUGACGCUGAGGCUCGAAAGCGUGGGUAGCAAA
This 241-nucleotide ribosomal RNA is filed under the name uncultured bacterium. RNAcentral's name for it is "partial 16S ribosomal RNA". It matches the Rfam family "Bacterial small subunit ribosomal RNA", at positions 532 to 772 of the family's 1533-position model. The record is from RNAcentral.